GGGGAUAACAUUUGGAAACAGAUGCUAAUACCGCAUAGAUCCAAGAACCGCAUGGUUCUUGGCUGAAAGAUGGCGUAAGCUAUCGCUUUUGGAUGGACCCGCGGCGUAUUAGCUAGUUGGUGAGGUAAUGGCUCACCAAGGCGAUGAUACGUAGCCGAACUGAGAGGUUGAUCGGCCACAUUGGGACUGAGACACGGCCCAAACUCCUACGGGAGGCAGCAGUAGGGAAUCUUCCACAAUGGACGCAAGUCUGAUGGAGCAACGCCGCGUGAGUGAAGAAGGCUUUCGGGUCGUAAAACUCUGUUGUUGGAGAAGAAUGGUCGGCAGAGUAACUGUUGUCGGCGUGACGGUAUCCAACCAGAAAGCCACGGCUAACUACGUGCCAGCAGCCGCGGUAAUACGUAGGUGGCAAGCGUUAUCCGGAUUUAUUGGGCGUAAAGCGAGCGCAGGCGGUUUUUUAAGUCUGAUGUGAAAGCCCUCGGCUUAACCGAGGAAGCGCAUCGGAAACUGGGAAACUUGAGUGCAGAAGAGGACAGUGGAACUCCAUGUGUAGCGGUGAAAUGCGUAGAUAUAUGGAAGAACACCAGUGGCGAAGGCGGCUGUCUGGUCUGUAACUGUCGCUGAGGCUCGAAAGCAUGGGUAGCGAACAGGAUUAGAUACCCUGGUAGUCCAUGCCGUAAACGAUGAAUG
Molecule: ribosomal RNA, 690 nt
Filed under: uncultured bacterium
Lineage: Bacteria
Description: bacterial SSU rRNA
Rfam family: Bacterial small subunit ribosomal RNA
Source: RNAcentral